This 1247-nucleotide long non-coding RNA is filed under the name Androctonus crassicauda. Lineage: Eukaryota; Metazoa; Arthropoda; Arachnida; Scorpiones; Buthidae. The record is from RNAcentral.
AGAAGAACAUAAAUUGAAAAUAUAUCAAUUUUUAGUAAUUAAAUUCAACAUCAUCCUAUUACUAAAAAGUAAAGAUACACACAACUCUGAACAGAAAGCUUUUUUUAUUUUCAGAAACAUGUUUGACCUCAUUGUAGAUCUACAUUAUUACUUACAAUACUGAAAUUAAUAAAAGUGAAAUACUGUAUAAAUACUACUGAGAUAUGACAUUGCUAUACUCCUAUACACAUAAAAGACAUUCUGCAUUAUUCUUAGUAAAUAUAAAAAAAAUUUUUUUCAUCAAUAUAAUUUGCAUAUUCAAUAAAAUCAAUGCAAAUUAUAAAAAAUGCAUAAAAAACAUUUUAAAGCUAUGGCAAAUUCAAAUGAGAUACUCUCUUCAGUCACAUAUCAAUCAUUGCCACACCAUCAGCUAGUAAUGUCGAUCCAUGGAGUUUAGAAUUUCAGCAUGCAGAAUUUCAACCAUCUUUAUAAGACUAUCAUUAUUAAUCAAGCUUGCCACUUCAUCUUCAUUCCACUUAAUAACCAUGUUGUGUUCAUAUGUUCUCAAUGUCAAUGCUGUGCUUAUGAAGCCUUUUUAUAUUCUCUUUAACCAAGAUCUGUAGACAUCUCGCUGAUAUGAUGUAAAAUUCAUGUUCAGGUCUCUAUUGAAUAAAGGUAUGUUGUAUACACCUGUUCUAUUUAUUCUCUGUAGCUAUUUUCUAUUUAUUGUUACAUAUAAGAUUAAAAAAUCACAUUCCUGUUUUCAAAACCAAUCUUUUCUUAGAGACUUUUAGCAAAUCUCUCAUUGGAAUUGAAUAGCAACUUUCAGAUAAUUAGAUUGGUUAGAAAUAUGUGCCUUAUUAAAAAUUGCUUCUAAUUCUCUAAAAAUAUUAAACAACACUAUAUAACUUAUAAUAUUCUAAUAAUCUAUUUUCCAAUUAAUCCAACUCUUGAUUUUAUAGAGUUGCCAUUUUUCUGAAUGAAAUGGAGGCUUAUAAGAUCAAACCAAUGUCUUGUCUGUCCUCCCACUAAUAACUUUUAAACUAAUUAGUGGAUUUUUUAUAAAUUUGGUGAUGAUGUUUAGCCAUUAAGGAAUACCUUGACACUGCAUCCUUUAAUCCCACAGGAUAGGAUUUCAUUUUUAUUACAGUUUUAGUUUAUAUUAGUGUCAAUAGACAGAGGGAUACCAAUAGACACCAAAUAAUAAAUAAAUGAAAAAUAAAUGACACCUUCAGAAAAUAGGCAAUUUUAGUUUUUUCUGAAAGUUC